AAUCAAUUGGCUUAUAAUUGAAGUCUGGAAUGAAAGGGAAAUUGGGGUUAGACUGUCUUAUGAAUAUACCUAGAAUUUACUAAAUAGGUGAAAAUUCCUAUACGUGGAAAAAAGACGAGAAGACCCUAGAAAUUUUAAUAAUAAAUCACUUUAUUUUUGUUGGGGCGACAGGGUAACAGAAAACUUACCCGACUAUAUAGGUAGUUUAUAAACUGUGCAAUCAAAUUACUCUAGGGAUAACAGCAUAAUAUUUUAAAGAUUGUGACCUCGAUGUUGGACUAGGGAGUAUAAUACUUAAAAGGUAUUAUAAUCGGCU
This 316-nucleotide ribosomal RNA is filed under the name Monacha pantanellii. RNAcentral describes it as "partial large subunit ribosomal RNA". The record is from RNAcentral. Lineage: Eukaryota; Metazoa; Mollusca; Gastropoda; Stylommatophora; Hygromiidae.